This 801-nucleotide ribosomal RNA is filed under the name uncultured Rubrobacter sp. RNAcentral's name for it is "bacterial SSU rRNA". It matches the Rfam family "Bacterial small subunit ribosomal RNA", at positions 8 to 796 of the family's 1533-position model. Lineage: Bacteria; Bacillati; Actinomycetota; Rubrobacteria; Rubrobacterales; Rubrobacteraceae. The record is from RNAcentral.
AGAGUUUGAUCAUGGCUCAGGACGAACGCUGACGGUGUGCUUUAGGCAUGCAAGUCGAACGAGAAAGCCCUUUGGGGUGAGUAGAGUGGCGAACGGGUGAGUAACACGUGGGCAACCUGCCCCUCGCAGGGGGAUAACCGGAGGAAACUCCGGCUAAUACCCCGUAAGCUUUCAGGGUCGCAUGGCUCUGUAAGGAAAGGUAGCUUCGGCCAUCCGGCGAGGGAUGGGCCCGCGGUGCAUUAGCUAGUUGGUGGGGUAAUGGCCCACCAAGGCGACGAUGUGUAGCUGGUCUGAGAGGAUGAUCAGCCACACUGGGACUGAGACACGGCCCAGACUCCUACGGGAGGCAGCAGCCAGGAAUCUUGGGCAAUGGGCGAAAGCCUGACCCAGCAACACCGUGUGGGCGAUGAAGGCCUUCGGGUCGUAAAGCCCUGUUGAUAGGGACGAAGGGCGAAGGGUUAAUAGCCCCUAGCCUGACGGUACCUUUCGAGGAAGCCCCGGCUAACUACGUGCCAGCAGCCGCGGUAAUACGUAGGGGGCGAGCGUUGUCCGGAAUUAUUGGGCGUAAAGAGCGUGUAGGCGGUUCGGUAAGUCUGCCGUGAAAACCUGAGGCUCAACCUCGGGCGUGCGGUGGAUACUGCCGGGCUAGAGGACGGUAGAGGCGAGUGGAAUUCCCGGUGUAGCGGUGAAAUGCGCAGAUAUCGGGAGGAACACCAGUAGCGAAGGCGGCUCGCUGGGCCGUUCCUGACGCUGAGACGCGAAAGCUAGGGGAGCGAACAGGAUUAGAUACCCCAGUAGUCC